GCAAUCAUACCAACACUAAUGCAUUGGAUCCCAUUAGAACUCCGAUGUUAAGCUUGCUUUGGCGAGGGCAGUACUAGGAUGGGUGACCCCCUUGGAAGUCCUCGUGUUGCACCU
This 114-nucleotide ribosomal RNA is filed under the name Zingiber officinale. Lineage: Eukaryota; Viridiplantae; Streptophyta; Magnoliopsida; Zingiberales; Zingiberaceae. The record is from RNAcentral.